RNAcentral lists this ribosomal RNA (253 nucleotides) under uncultured bacterium. Its description in RNAcentral is "partial 16S ribosomal RNA". It matches the Rfam family "Bacterial small subunit ribosomal RNA", at positions 524 to 776 of the family's 1533-position model. The record is from RNAcentral.
UACAGAGGGGGCAAGCGUUGUUCGGAAUUACUGGGCGUAAAGGGCGCGUAGGUGGCCUUCUAAGUUGAACGUGAAAUCCCUGGGCUCAACCCAGGAACUGCGUCCAAGACUGGGAGGCUUGAAUCCGGGAGAGGGAUGCGGAAUUCCAGGUGUAGCGGUGAAAUGCGUAGAUAUCAGGAGGAACACCAAUGGCGAAGGCAGCUCGCUGGGACGGUACUGACGCUGAGACGCGAAAGCGUGGGGAGCAAACAGG